UGGGGAAUCUUGCACAAUGGACGAAAGUCUGAUGCAGCAACGCCGCGUGGGGGAUGAAGCUUUUCGGAGUGUAAACCCCUUUCGACCCGGAAGAAUGCCCGCAAGGGUUCGACGGUACGGGUAUAAGAAGCCCCGGCUAACUACGUGCCAGCAGCCGCGGUAAUACGUAGGGGGCCAGCGUUGCUCGGAAUUACUGGGCGUAAAGGGUCCGUAGGCGGUGUGGCAAGUCGGGAGUGAAAUCUCUGGGCUUAACCCAGAGGCUGCUUCCGAAACUGCCAUGCUAGAGUGUGAGAGAGGCGAGUGGAAUUACGGGUGUAGCGGUGAAAUGCGUAGAUAUCCGUAGGAACAUCCGAGGCGAAGGCGGCUCGCUGGAUCACAACUGACGCUGAGGGACGAAAGCUAGGGGAGCAAACAGGAUUAGAUACCCUGGUAGUCCUAGCCCUAAACCAUCAGGACUUGGGGUGUGCCCUGUACGGGGCACGUCCCGUAGCUAACGCGUUAAGUCCUGCGCCUGGGGAGUACGGUCGCAAGGCUG
RNAcentral lists this ribosomal RNA (535 nucleotides) under uncultured bacterium. RNAcentral's name for it is "bacterial SSU rRNA". It matches the Rfam family "Bacterial small subunit ribosomal RNA", at positions 355 to 896 of the family's 1533-position model. The record is from RNAcentral.